Molecule: long non-coding RNA, 378 nt
Organism: Nyctereutes procyonoides (raccoon dog)
Lineage: Eukaryota; Metazoa; Chordata; Mammalia; Carnivora; Canidae
Exons: 4
Source: RefSeq, a predicted model, not a curated record
CGGCGCCCCGUGAACGUAACAGCUCCGACGACGGAAGCGUCCGCUGCGGACCGCAGGGACCGGCAGGAACUUUUGAAAACAUACCAGGAGAAGAGGGACCAGAUUCCAAAAUGAACUCCUAAGAAUGAGGUCUCGGAAGUGGGUCUGAAAUUAGGUGAAGCUGGGAGGAAAAAGUUGCCAACUUACUUUUGAGAGAACAGAAGCUUGGGGAAGAUAAACAAGUCACUCAAAUUCACAGCGAUGGGUGGUGCAGUCCAAGCUUCAGGCCCAGAGGUGCACACACUUCAAUUGACUCUUGGAUAUGUGCAAAAAAUGGGAAUGGUCAGCAAAGGAAUGCUGUCCUGAGUUUUUUACACAUCAGUAAUGCUUCCCACUGUG